GUGAAAUUGUUGAAAGGGAAGCGCUUGCAACCAGACCUGCCUGCAGUUGCUCAUCCGGGCUUUUGCCCGGUGCACUCUUCUGCUGUCAGGCCAGCAUCGGUUCGGGCGGUCGGAUAAAGGCUUCGGGAAUGUAGCUCCUCUCGAGGAGUGUUAUAGCCCGUUGCGAAAUGCGGCCAGCCUGAACUGAGGUCCGCGCUUCGGCUAGGAUGCUGGCGUAAUGGUUGUAAGCGGCCCGUCUUGAAACACGGACCAAGGAGUCUAACAUCUGUGCGAGUGUUUGGGUGUCAAACCCGUACGCGUAAUGAAAGUGAACGGAGGCGGGAACCCCUCGGGGUGCACCGUCGACCGAUCCUGAUGUCUUCGGAUGGAUUUGAGUAAGAGCAUAGCUGUUGGGACCCGAAAGAUGGUGAACUAUGCCUGAAUAGGGUGAAGCCAGAGGAAACUCUGGUGGAGGCUCGCAGCGGUUCUGACGUGCAAAUCGAUCGUCAAAUUUGGGCAUAGGGGCGAAAGACUAAUCGAACUAUCUAGUAGCUGGUUCCUGCCGAAGUUUCCCUCAGGAUAGCAGUAACGUUUUCAGUUUUAUGAGGUAAAGCGAAUGAUUAGAGGCCUGGGGGUUGAAACAACCUUCACCUAUUCUCAAACUUUAAAUAUGUAAGAAGUCCUUGUUGCUUAGUUGAACGUGGACAUUUGAAUGUAUCGUUACUAGUGGGCCAUUUUUGGUAAGCAGAACU
This 731-nucleotide ribosomal RNA is filed under the name uncultured Ascomycota. Its description in RNAcentral is "LSU rRNA". It matches the Rfam family "Eukaryotic large subunit ribosomal RNA", at positions 399 to 1151 of the family's 3401-position model. The record is from RNAcentral. Lineage: Eukaryota; Fungi; Ascomycota.